ACGUAACCCGUUCUCAAACUUCACACAUUUCGAAAAUUCUCCAGCAGCCUCAUUAUAGGGAGUGUAAUACUUCGACAGCUCUGUGAACUUAGCAGCAUACUCAGUAACAGACUUGUUACCCUGCUUCAAUUCUAAGAACUCUAUCUCUUUCUUUCCUCUGACAUCUUCUGGAAAGUACUUCCUCAGGAAUCUCUCUCUGAACACAGCCCAAGUG
Molecule: long non-coding RNA, 214 nt
Filed under: Lathyrus oleraceus (garden pea)
Lineage: Eukaryota; Viridiplantae; Streptophyta; Magnoliopsida; Fabales; Fabaceae
Description: Pisum sativum (pea) long non-coding RNA (PSAT_LNC017274)
Source: RNAcentral